GUUCCCACUUCCUCCUCUAGAGGUGGAAACUGAAGUGCAGACUUCACAGAGGAAGCCUUCAAAAACAACAGUAAACCUGCAGGAAUCCCAGAUUUCUCAACAUCACCCACUGUAUCAGGGCGUCUAACCCCACUGUCCAC
RNAcentral lists this long non-coding RNA (140 nucleotides) under Fukomys damarensis (Damara mole-rat). RNAcentral describes it as "lncRNA (ENSFDAG00000023768.1)". Lineage: Eukaryota; Metazoa; Chordata; Mammalia; Rodentia; Bathyergidae. The record is from RNAcentral.